RNAcentral lists this long non-coding RNA (645 nucleotides) under Lynx pardinus (Iberian lynx). Lineage: Eukaryota; Metazoa; Chordata; Mammalia; Carnivora; Felidae. The record is from RNAcentral.
AAUUACAACAUCAACCCUCAUAUUUCAGCGUAUGGGCAAAUUACCAGUGGAGUCAAGAAUAAAUUCAUUCUGCCCUACUGGAGCUUUAGAUCAGGUUGCACAAUCCCGGGGCAGAAGUGCCUUCGCCUAGCCCUAAAGCAUCAGGUACUAAAUACUGUACUAACUCAGUGUCAGGACAUUUUAAAGCGGGAGGGAAACUCAAGGGUCGCCUAAACCAAUUCAACAAGCCCAUAAUCCCGAAUUCAGGAAUUUGUCACGUCACUUGAGAUCAGAAUGAAAUGAAGUUUCGAUCCCUUUGAGAUCUCUUAGCGCACAAAGUCAGGCUAUCAUUACAAGAGGAGUCCGACCCUGGCUGUAGGAAAACGACUCGGUGCGGAACUCGAGUCUCUUCCGCCCACUGUGUGGGGCCGCACCAGUCAGGUCCAGCGAGGAGCUGGGGCGCGAGUUUGGGGGCGCAGCCGGGGCCGGCGGGGGCGGCGAGCGCGCGUCCCCCCGCCCGCUCAGGCAGCGUCGAGGCGCGAGCAGCUCAGCCAGCCUUGCAGAGGGAGCUCUCGGCAGCUCUGGGGUCUCUCUGCUCGCAGCCGCAGCAGCGCCGCCUGCGCCACUCGGCGGAGACGGAGACCAGAGGCGGCGGCGCGCGGACUG